This 252-nucleotide ribosomal RNA is filed under the name uncultured bacterium. RNAcentral describes it as "partial 16S ribosomal RNA". It matches the Rfam family "Bacterial small subunit ribosomal RNA", at positions 524 to 776 of the family's 1533-position model. The record is from RNAcentral.
GACAGAGGCCUCAAGCGUUAGGCGGAAUCACUGGGCUUAAAGCGUGUGUAGGCGGAUCGUUAAGUGUCUUGUGAAAUCCCACGGCUCACCGUGGAACUGCUGGGCAUACUGGCGAUCUUGGGCCAACUAGGGGCAACUGGAACAAGCGGUGGAGCGGUGAAAUGCGUAGAUAUCGCUUGGAACGCCGAAGGUGAAAACAGGUUGCUGGGGUUGUGCCGACGCUGAGACACGAAAGCCAGGGGAGCAAACGGG